This 27-nucleotide non-coding RNA is filed under the name Homo sapiens (human). The record is from RNAcentral. Lineage: Eukaryota; Metazoa; Chordata; Mammalia; Primates; Hominidae.
CUCCCUGUGAACUGGGAAAGGGCCAUC